UACGUAGGUGGCAAGCGUUGUCCGGAAUUACUGGGUGUAAAGGGAGCGCAGGCGGGAAGCCAAGUCAGCUGUGAAAACUACGGGCUUAACUUGUAGACUGCAGUUGAAACUGGUUUUCUUGAGUGAAGUAGAGGUUGGCGGAAUUCCGAGUGUAGCGGUGAAAUGCGUAGAUAUUCGGAGGAACACCGGUGGCGAAGGCGGCUUACUGGACUGUAACUGACGUUGAGGCUCGAAAGCGUGGGGAGCAAACAGG
Molecule: ribosomal RNA, 253 nt
Filed under: uncultured bacterium
Lineage: Bacteria
Description: partial 16S ribosomal RNA
Rfam family: Bacterial small subunit ribosomal RNA
Source: RNAcentral